This 356-nucleotide ribosomal RNA is filed under the name uncultured bacterium. RNAcentral describes it as "bacterial SSU rRNA". It matches the Rfam family "Bacterial small subunit ribosomal RNA", at positions 8 to 352 of the family's 1533-position model. The record is from RNAcentral.
AGAGUUUGAUCCUGGCUCAGGAUGAACGCUAGCUACAGGCUUAACACAUGCAAGUCGAGGGGAAACGAUAUUGGAAGCUUGCUUCCGAUAGGCGUCGACCGGCGCACGGGUGAGUAACGCGUAUCCAACCUGCCCACCACUUGGGGAUAACCUUGCGAAAGUAAGACUAAUACCCAAUGACGUCUCUAGAAGACAUCUGAAAGAGAUUAAAGAUUUAUCGGUGAUGGAUGGGGAUGCGUCUGAUUAGCUUGUUGGCGGGGUAACGGCCACCAAGGCUACGAUCAGUAGGGGUUCUGAGAGGAAGGUCCCCCACAUUGGAACUGAGACACGGUCCAAAACUCCUACGGGGAGGCCGA